RNAcentral lists this unclassified non-coding RNA (219 nucleotides) under Erysiphe vanbruntiana. RNAcentral describes it as "sequence contains ITS1". The record is from RNAcentral. Lineage: Eukaryota; Fungi; Ascomycota; Leotiomycetes; Helotiales; Erysiphaceae.
CAGAGCGUGAGGCUCAGUCGCGACAUCUGCCGCGUGCUGGGCCGACCCUCCCACCCGUGUCGAUUUGUAUCUUGUUGCUUUGGCGGGCCGGGUUGCGUCGAUGCUGGCCGCAAGGACAUGCGUCGGCCGCCCACCGGCUUCGGCUGGAGCGCGUCCGCCAGAGACCGAACCAAAACUCAUGUUAUCUUUGCAGUCUAAGCUUUAUUUAUUGAAUUGAUA